GUAUGACAACACGUGUGUGACCGCCUUUUUCAAACGCGGAAAUUGUAUAAUUAUCCUGGACAAUAUUUAGGACCGUUUUCAGCAAAGAAGAAUUCAUACAAAUGUAUUAGAGACAGAACAGUAACUUAGGGAAAAGACAGAUCAGUAACUUAGGAAAGAAAGAUUUAAGGAUAAAAGUAAUAGCUGUCAAGGAAGAGUAAUGGAGGCCUACACAAAGAUAACAGAAGCUGAAUUAAAGAAGGAUUGUGCACUAGAAAUGGUUGGAGGAGUAGAGACUACAAUUCAUUUUCACGAAAAUAAUAAAAAUUGAUUAAGAGA
Long non-coding RNA from Mytilus californianus (California mussel), 318 nucleotides. RefSeq lists it as uncharacterized. NCBI's taxonomy places the organism in Eukaryota, Metazoa, Mollusca, Bivalvia, Mytilida, Mytilidae. The transcript is spliced from 3 exons. The record is from RefSeq and is a predicted model, not a curated record.